AAGUCGUAACAAGGUUUCCGUAGGUGAACCUGCGGAAGGAUCAUUAACAAAUCCAAUAAUUGUUGAUAGCAAUAUCAUCAAAUAUUAAACCGCUGGCCCGUUAGGGCUAGUUGGAUAUAUAUGCGUGUUAUGUUGACAGUGUGUGUGACUUAAAAUUAUUGACAA
RNAcentral lists this unclassified non-coding RNA (165 nucleotides) under plant metagenome. RNAcentral's name for it is "partial contains small subunit ribosomal RNA and internal transcribed spacer 1". The stretch from base 1 to 46 matches the Rfam family "Eukaryotic small subunit ribosomal RNA", at positions 1786 to 1831 of the family's 1831-position model. The record is from RNAcentral.